RNAcentral lists this ribosomal RNA (521 nucleotides) under Providencia rettgeri. RNAcentral describes it as "bacterial SSU rRNA". It matches the Rfam family "Bacterial small subunit ribosomal RNA", at positions 1014 to 1533 of the family's 1533-position model. The record is from RNAcentral. Lineage: Bacteria; Pseudomonadati; Pseudomonadota; Gammaproteobacteria; Enterobacterales; Morganellaceae.
GUGCCUUCGGGAACUCUGAGACAGGUGCUGCAUGGCUGUCGUCAGCUCGUGUUGUGAAAUGUUGGGUUAAGUCCCGCAACGAGCGCAACCCUUAUCCUUUGUUGCCAGCGAUUCGGUCGGGAACUCAAAGGAGACUGCCGGUGAUAAACCGGAGGAAGGUGGGGAUGACGUCAAGUCAUCAUGGCCCUUACGAGUAGGGCUACACACGUGCUACAAUGGCGUAUACAAAGAGAAGCGACCUCGCGAGAGCAAGCGGAACUCAUAAAGUACGUCGUAGUCCGGAUUGGAGUCUGCAACUCGACUCCAUGAAGUCGGAAUCGCUAGUAAUCGUAGAUCAGAAUGCUACGGUGAAUACGUUCCCGGGCCUUGUACACACCGCCCGUCACACCAUGGGAGUGGGUUGCAAAAGAAGUAGGUAGCUUAACCUUCGGGAGGGCGCUUACCACUUUGUGAUUCAUGACUGGGGUGAAGUCGUAACAAGGUAACCGUAGGGGAACCUGCGGUUGGAUCACCUCCUUACC